GCCUCAGUAGCUCAGUUGGGAAAGCGUUAGACCGAAGGUCUAGGGGUCACCAGUUCGACUCUGGUUCGCGGCA
Molecule: non-coding RNA, 73 nt
Organism: Parelaphostrongylus tenuis
Lineage: Eukaryota; Metazoa; Nematoda; Chromadorea; Rhabditida; Metastrongylidae
Source: the annotation of a GenBank genome assembly